RNAcentral lists this transfer RNA (83 nucleotides) under Trametes sanguinea. RNAcentral's name for it is "tRNA-Asp". Lineage: Eukaryota; Fungi; Basidiomycota; Agaricomycetes; Polyporales; Polyporaceae. The record is from RNAcentral.
UCCCUGGUAGUAUAUCGGAUAGUACACGCGCCUGUCAAUAUUGCCGGACGCGCGAGAGCGGGGUUCGACUCCCCGCCAGGGAG